Molecule: transfer RNA, 72 nt
Filed under: marine bacterium AO1-C
Lineage: Bacteria; Pseudomonadati; Bacteroidota; Cytophagia; Cytophagales; Cytophagaceae
Rfam family: tRNA
About the family: Transfer RNA (tRNA) molecules are approximately 80 nucleotides in length. Their secondary structure includes four short double-helical elements and three loops (D, anti-codon, and T loops).
Source: Rfam by way of RNAcentral
CGCGAGCUAGCUUAACGGCAGAGCGCAUGACUCAUGAUCAUGUAUGUGAGGGUUCGACUCCCUCGCUCGCUA